RNAcentral lists this transfer RNA (73 nucleotides) under Dictyocaulus viviparus (bovine lungworm). It matches the Rfam family "tRNA". Rfam says of the family: Transfer RNA (tRNA) molecules are approximately 80 nucleotides in length. Their secondary structure includes four short double-helical elements and three loops (D, anti-codon, and T loops). Further hydrogen bonds mediate the characteristic L-shaped molecular structure. tRNAs have two regions of fundamental functional importance: the anti-codon, which is responsible for specific mRNA codon recognition, and the 3' end, to which the tRNAs corresponding amino acid is attached (by aminoacyl-tRNA synthetases). tRNAs cope with the degeneracy of the genetic code in two manners: having more than one tRNA (with a specific anti-codon) for a particular amino acid; and 'wobble' base-pairing, i.e. permitting non-standard base-pairing at the 3rd anti-codon position. The record is from Rfam by way of RNAcentral. Lineage: Eukaryota; Metazoa; Nematoda; Chromadorea; Rhabditida; Metastrongylidae.
GCUUCGGUAGUGUAAUGGAUAAACACAACAGAUCGAAUAUCUGUAGGUGUAGGUUCGAGUCUCACCCAAGGUU